AGUCACUGACAUUAGAUACCCGUGUAGUCCAGGGUGUAAACGCUGCAGACUUGGUGUUGGAAGUCCUUUGGGGGCAUUCAGUGCCGGAGAGAAGUUGUUAAGUCUGCUACUUGGGGAGUACGUCCGCAAGGAUGAAACUUAAAGGAAAUUGGCGGGGGAGGCACCGCAACGGGAGGAGCGUGCGGUUUAAUUGGAUUCAACACCGUAAACUCACCAGGGAAGACUGUUACAUGAAGGCCGAGAUGAAGACUCUGCUAGAUUUUCAG
This 266-nucleotide ribosomal RNA is filed under the name uncultured archaeon. RNAcentral describes it as "partial 16S ribosomal RNA". It matches the Rfam family "Archaeal small subunit ribosomal RNA", at positions 717 to 982 of the family's 1478-position model. The record is from RNAcentral.